This 253-nucleotide ribosomal RNA is filed under the name uncultured bacterium. Its description in RNAcentral is "partial 16S ribosomal RNA". It matches the Rfam family "Bacterial small subunit ribosomal RNA", at positions 524 to 776 of the family's 1533-position model. The record is from RNAcentral.
UACAGAGGGGGCAAGCGUUAUUCGGAAUUAUUGGGCGUAAAGGGCUCGUAGGCGGUUUGUCGCGUCGGGAGUGAAAACCCAGGGCUUAACCCUGGGCUGGCUUCCGAUACGGGCAGACUAGAGGUAUGCAGGGGAGAACGGAAUUCCUGGUGUAGCGGUGAAAUGCGCAGAUAUCAGGAGGAACACCGGUGGCGAAGGCGGUUCUCUGGGCAUUACCUGACGCUGAGGAGCGAAAGUGUGGGGAGCGAACAGG